Molecule: ribosomal RNA, 574 nt
Filed under: Etheostoma spectabile (orangethroat darter)
Lineage: Eukaryota; Metazoa; Chordata; Actinopteri; Perciformes; Percidae
Description: partial large subunit ribosomal RNA
Rfam family: Bacterial large subunit ribosomal RNA
Source: RNAcentral
CGCCUCUUGUAAAGCUUAAAAAUAAGAGGUCCCGCCUGCCCUGUGACUGUAAGUUUAACGGCCGCGGUAUUUUGACCGUGCGAAGGUAGCGCAAUCACUUGUCUUUUAAAUGGAGACCUGUAUGAAUGGCAUAACGAGGGCUUAACUGUCUCCUCUUUUAAGUCAGUGAAAUUGAUCUCCCCGUGCAGAAGCGGGGAUAACAACAUAAGACGAGAAGACCCUAUGAAGCUUUAGAUGUAAGGCAGAUCAUGUUAAACACUCCUUAAUAAGGGACUAAACCAAGUGAGUCCUGUCCUAGUGUCUUUGGUUGGGGCGACCGCGGGGAAAGAAAAAACCCCCACGUGGAACGGGAGUACGCCCUCCUACAACUAAGAGCUGCUGCUCUAGUUAACAGAAUUUCUGACCAGCAAGAUCCGGCAACGCCGAUCAACGGACCGAGUUACUCUAGGGAUAACAGCGCAAUCCCCUUUUAGAGCCCAUAUCGACAAGGGGGUUUACGACCUCGAUGUUGGAUCAGGACAUCCUAAUGGUGCAGCCGCUAUUAAGGGUUCGUUUGUUCAACGAUUAAAGUCCU